GUGGCUCGCUCCAGCAGCACAUAUACUAAAAUUAGAAUGAUACAGAGAAGAUUAUCAUGGCCCCUGUGCAAGGAUUACAUGCAAAUUCAUGAAGUGGUACAUAUUUAU
Small nuclear RNA from Tupaia belangeri (northern tree shrew), 108 nucleotides. The record is from Ensembl. Lineage: Eukaryota; Metazoa; Chordata; Mammalia; Scandentia; Tupaiidae.